This 1680-nucleotide long non-coding RNA is filed under the name Zea mays. RNAcentral describes it as "long non-coding RNA (ZMAY_LNC003649)". The record is from RNAcentral. Lineage: Eukaryota; Viridiplantae; Streptophyta; Magnoliopsida; Poales; Poaceae.
UUGUCUCCACGACCACCUCCUUCGCAUGUGCAUGGACUGCAUCUACCCGCGGCCCUGCGCAUGGUCCUAUGUGUCCACCCCUUCAAAUUCGUCAUUGUCCUCCGGCGCCAGCGCGCUCAGCCGAGUCCAUAGCCUCAUCGAGCGGGAGCGCCGAGUCGAUGGGGAGCACUCCAUCGCCGCGCACGUAGCCAUCGGCGUACCAGGUCUAGUGUAUGGGGCUUGGUAUCUUUCUAGAAGCCACGCCACCACCGUCUGCGACCACAGCCACAAGGUGCAGGGAUGUGGAGCAGGAGUACUACAAGGCAGUGGCGUCGGCGAGGUCGAGAUCAUUGUCAAUGGCGGCAGUGCUGGCUUCACAGGGCAAGGGAGUGCUGCGGAACCAUAAGCCUCGCGCUCACCUUCGAUUAGCGAGAUAGCGUGAGAUGAAGUUGAUCAUGAGGUUAGUUUGUUGUCGAUUCCUCGAUUUAGGUGGUGUUGGCUGAUCGACCGAACAUGCACGUAGUCUCUUGCGUUAAUUUGUUGAUUCAUUCUGUUGUUCUCUCAGUUUUGUUUCGUACUGCUAAUUAUGAUCACAACGAAUGUAAAUAUGUUAUUGGUUCCCAGUUGUGCAUUUUUCUGAUUAUCGCAACAAGUUUUGUGUGAACACAAGGUUGACUUGUCCCUUGUGGUCCAGGUUGAUGAUGAAUGAUUGUCAAUGGGUAGCACUCUAGGGUAGUCAGUGGACUGACUAGAGCGUGAGAUUAUGCUUGUGCAACUAUGUCGGUCGACUUGUGUUGUGCAGGUGUGGAGCAUAGGGAUGGUGGUCGAUGGCUGAGGCGAAGGUCAUGCGGGCUCAUGCUGAUGGACCGAAAGCGGUGAAGGGCGAGUGUCGGGUCUUGACUGAUGGAUCGGAGUAGCCGGGUGACCAGACGCGGUAGCUGACACCUGGGACACGCACUCGUGCGAGGACGUGGUGGAGUGGACUGUAUUGCCGGCGUGGUCAAGGACUGGCGAGACACAUGUCUGGUCGUGGAGGACGCGCACGAGGUGCGUUACUCAUGGCAGGUUUGGUGGUUUGGACCUGGAAACCACACAGCGCUACGGAUGGCGGGUUUUGCUGAGUUUGGGCCUCAAAACUCAGCGGCAGAGGUUUUAGAGGGAACUGGUGGUGACACGUGGCGUGAUCGCGGAGGGUGCGUAAAGGCGAAGCGACUCCAUGUGAAGGAUGUGGCCCUCGAAUCGAAAACCUAGGAGUUGGUCCAUUUCGUGCCCGGUGGAGUGGAUAGGCUCUAUGUAAAUAGCAGUAGUUUAGGAAAUGACAAUAACCCUCUAUAAAUAGAGAGAAUGGCUAGUUCGUCUAGCAUCUCUUGAGUGCUAUUUGUUUAGAGCACUCAUUCUAGAGCUCUUAGUUUUCUCUCUAGGUAGACUCCAGUUGAGCCGAGAGGUCCACAACGAUUUUGUACUUGGACUGUGUUCUUGAUCUUCAAGUUUAAUCAGAGGAAGGGUUGUCAGUCCGGCCCAUAACGUUCUUUGGCUUCAAUCUCAGUUUUGUAUACUUGCUGAAAUCUGAAGUCUUGUGUUCUUGGUUUCUCCCUUUCCCUUCUCCGGCAAAGAAGGCGAGAGUAUGGUAGUGAUGAAGCCCGAAAGCCCAGCCCGAAGCCCGUUUUUGUGGACCGGUACGAGCCCGACCCAGUCCGCUUU